UAGUCCACGCCGUAAACGAUGGUCACUAGCUGUGUGGAUUUCGGUCUGCGUGGCUAAGCGAAAGUGAUAAGUGACCCACCUGGGGAGUACGUUCGCAAGAAUGAAACUCAAAGGAAUUGACGGGGGCCCGCACAAGCGGUGGAGCAUGUGGUUUAAUUCGAUGAUACGCGAGGAACCUUACCAGGGCUUAAAUGUAAGUUGCAUUAGCUAGAGAUAGCUAUUUCUUCGGACUACUUACAAGGUGCUGCAUGGUUGUCGUCAGCUCGUGCCGUGAGGUGUCAGGUUAAGUCCUAUAACGAGCGCAACCCCUGUUGUUAGUUGCCAGCGAGUAAUGUCGGGAACUCUAGCAAGACUGCCGGUGCAAACCGUGAGGAAGGUGGGGAUGACGUCAAAUCAUCACGGCCCUUACGUCCUGGGCCACACGUGCUACAAUGGUCGUGACAAAGAGUUGCUAGUCUGCGAAGGCAAGCCAAUCUCAUAAACGCGGCCUUAGUUCGGAUUGC
Molecule: ribosomal RNA, 503 nt
Filed under: uncultured bacterium
Lineage: Bacteria
Description: bacterial SSU rRNA
Rfam family: Bacterial small subunit ribosomal RNA
Source: RNAcentral